GGUCCUGACUCGCUCUUUUGGUAAUAGAGCAUGGCAUUGUCGAUGCCGGGGUUAGGGGUUCGAUUCCCACUGGGACCA
Non-coding RNA from Merluccius polli (Benguela hake), 78 nucleotides. The record is from the annotation of a GenBank genome assembly. Lineage: Eukaryota; Metazoa; Chordata; Actinopteri; Gadiformes; Merlucciidae.